GUCAGCCUACGGGAGGCAGCAGUAGGGAAUCUUCCACAAUGGACGAAAGUCUGAUGGAGCAACGCCGCGUGAGUGAAGAAGGGUUUCGGCUCGUAAAGCUCUGUUGGUAGUGAAGAAAGAUAGAGGCAGUAACUGGCCUUUAUUUGACGGUAAUUACUUAGAAAGUCACGGCUAACUACUUGCCAGCAGCCGCGGUAAUACAUAGGUUGCAAGCGUUGUCCGGAUUUAUUGGGCGUAAAGCG
This 242-nucleotide ribosomal RNA is filed under the name uncultured bacterium. RNAcentral's name for it is "partial 16S ribosomal RNA". It matches the Rfam family "Bacterial small subunit ribosomal RNA", at positions 333 to 567 of the family's 1533-position model. The record is from RNAcentral.